This 518-nucleotide ribosomal RNA is filed under the name uncultured bacterium. RNAcentral's name for it is "bacterial SSU rRNA". It matches the Rfam family "Bacterial small subunit ribosomal RNA", at positions 374 to 882 of the family's 1533-position model. The record is from RNAcentral.
GACGAAAGUCUGACGGAGCAACGCCGCGUGUACGAUGAAGGCCUUCGGGUUGUAAAGUACUGUCUUCAGGGACGAAUGGUAUCUAUGAAAAUAUUGUAGGUAAAUGACGGUACCUGAGGAGGAAGCCCCAGCUAACUACGUGCCAGCAGCCGCGGUAAUACGUAGGGGGCAAGCGUUGUCCGGAAUCAUUGGGCGUAAAAGGCGCGUAGGCGGAUAAUUAAGUCUGGUGUGAAAACUUGGGGCUCAACCCCAAGCCUGCAUCGGAAACUGGUUAUCUUGAGGACAGGAGAGGAAAGUGGAAUUCCACGUGUAGCGGUGAAAUGCGUAGAUAUGUGGAGGAACACCAGUGGCGAAGGCGACUUUCUGGACUGUAACUGACGCUGAGGCGCGAAAGCGUGGGGAGCAAACAGGAUUAGAUACCCUGGUAGUCCACGCCGUAAACGAUGAGUGCUAGGUGUAGAGGGUAUCGACCCCUUCUGUGCCGCAGUUAACACAAUAAGCACUCCGCCUGGGGAGUA